GACGAACCGUCCAAACGUUAUUCGGUAUCACUGGGCUUAAAGCGUGCGUAGGCUGUCUGAAAGGUGAGGUGUGAAAUCCCUCGGCUCAACCGAGGAACUGCGCUUCAAACCAUUAGACUAGAGGAAUGCAGGGGUAAGCGGAACAGAUGGUGGAGCGGUGAAAUGCGUUGAUAUCAUCUGGAACACCGGUGGCGAAAGCGGCUUACUGGGCAUUUUCUGACGCUGAGGCACGAAAGCUAGGGGAGCAAACGGG
Molecule: unclassified non-coding RNA, 253 nt
Filed under: uncultured Pirellulaceae bacterium
Lineage: Bacteria; Pseudomonadati; Planctomycetota; Planctomycetia; Pirellulales; Pirellulaceae
Description: contains 16S-23S intergenic spacer region
Rfam family: Bacterial small subunit ribosomal RNA
Source: RNAcentral